Molecule: long non-coding RNA, 939 nt
Organism: Symphalangus syndactylus (siamang)
Lineage: Eukaryota; Metazoa; Chordata; Mammalia; Primates; Hylobatidae
Source: RefSeq, a predicted model, not a curated record
UCUACAGUGCGGGCCACAGGCGGAGACCUAGGAGAGCCGACGGUGCAGGUGGAGUCUGAGGGCGUUUCCGGGAGAAUUACUUCUCGCUCAGGGAGGCCAGGGUUGAUUUGUGUGAGCCAAGUUUUCUGAAGAUUCACAGGAAGAACAAUUCUUCCUCUAAGAGACAGGGUCUUGCUCUGUCUCCCAGGCUGGAGUGCAGUGGUGCAAUCAUAGCUCACUGCAGCCUCGAUCUACCGUGCUCCAUUGAUCCUCCCACCUCAGCCUUCAGAGUAGCUGGAACUACGGGGGUCUGGCUGGUCCACAGAGAUGACGUCCAAGGGAUAAGAACUCCUUGCCUCCAUUAAAAUGCAACAACCCCUCUAAGAAGAACUGCUGAGUCUUCCCCCCGGUCUGCCCUCUGUCUUCUGGUUGGACACAGCCAAUAGCCUCUUGUGUUUCCCUGUGGGUUCCUUUCCUUCCUCCACAUGUGGAUAUGCUACCCUUCGGUCUCCACAUCAGACUUUUGCUCCUGGCCUGAAUUAAAGUCCCGACCUGCCAAAUCCACUGUCUGGCUCUGUUUCCCCUGACAACCUGAUAACGAGAUUGUCAGCUUGAUCCUUCUCGCUCAAAGCUCUCCCCUCUCACCCCUUGUUGUUUGCUAAAAGUCGUUAGGAGAUUUCUCUGCAGGUCAUUACUGUCCUCCUGCCCUGACAGCAGGUACAAAACUUCUGAAUCUUGCUCAGGGCUGGCCCAGGGGCUUCUCCUUUGGGGAGUCCAGCAAACCACCAGCCUGUCCCUGCAGUGCUCCCUCCUGCCAGGUUCACAGCAUUUCCAGUGAGCCUCAUCAUGGAACCUUGACAUCUCUGAGGCGGGCCCCAUUUAGGGAGCUGCACAAUUGGAGCUUUGUCACAUUUAUAAAGAUAAAUUAAAAUAUUAUCACUAGAGACCGUCAAUAAUUUA